RNAcentral lists this ribosomal RNA (635 nucleotides) under uncultured bacterium. RNAcentral's name for it is "bacterial SSU rRNA". The stretch from base 1 to 542 matches the Rfam family "Bacterial small subunit ribosomal RNA", at positions 338 to 873 of the family's 1533-position model. The record is from RNAcentral.
CCUACGGGAGGCAGCAGUGGGGAAUUUUGGACAAUGGGCGAAAGCCUGAUCCAGCCAUGCCGCGUGCAGGAUGAAGGCCUUCGGGUUGUAAACUGCUUUUGUACGGAACGAAACGGUCUCUUCUAAUAAAGGGGGCUAAUGACGGUACCGUAAGAAUAAGCACCGGCUAACUACGUGCCAGCAGCCGCGGUAAUACGUAGGGUGCAAGCGUUAAUCGGAAUUACUGGGCGUAAAGCGUGCGCAGGCGGUUAUAUAAGACAGUUGUGAAAUCCCCGGGCUCAACCUGGGAACUGCAUCUGUGACUGUAUAGCUAGAGUACGGUAGAGGGGGAUGGAAUUCCGCGUGUAGCAGUGAAAUGCGUAGAUAUGCGGAGGAACACCGAUGGCGAAGGCAAUCCCCUGGACCUGUACUGACGCUCAUGCACGAAAGCGUGGGGAGCAAACAGGAUUAGAUACCCUGGUAGUCCACGCCCUAAACGAUGUCAACUGGUUGUUGGGUCUUCACUGACUCAGUAACGAAGCUAACGCGUGAAGUUGACCGCCGUCGGGAGGUACGGCCGGCGAGGUUAGUAACGUACGAAAUAGUAGUUAGUACGGCGUGAGACGUAGCCGACGGACGACGACGAGGGAGGAGGG